GGGAGUUUUUUAGGUAAAGGUUUUAGGUGGCAACUCUUGCAGGCAUUUAAAAAGCUAGGGCUUGGGUGCAAGAUCUGAGCGGAAAGAGAGGUUGGAAGGGGGCAGUAGCGGUGGGAUCAGCUGGAUGGCGAGGUGGAGAGAAAUGAAGGGAGAAGCGGAGGCCAAGUCUGGGUGCGAGGGAGCAGGGAAGACAGGACAGAAGUCCAGGAGCCAGCCUGAGCCCAAGGGUGGUCUAGAGGGUGUGGGGACUGAGGAAAUGGACUUGAAGGGUUGACCAGCAGCACCAUGGGGCAAACUCAGCCCAGCUGGGUAAAUUUGCCACAAACUCCCUCCAAGGACACAAGCACAUGGAAAUAGAGAAAAAUCUGUGUUGCUGGGUGUCGUGGCUCACCCCUAUAAUCCCAGGACUUUGGGAGGCUGAGGCAGGAGGAUUGCUUGAGCCCAGGAGUUUGAGAACAACCUGGGAAACAUAGGGUGACCCAGUAUCUACAAAAAAAUUAAAAAGUUAGACAGGUGUGGUAGCAUGCACCUGUGGUGCCACAUACUGAGGAAGCUGAAGCAGGAGGAUCACUUGAGCUUGGGAGGUCGAGGCUACAGUGAGCCCUGAUCGCACAACUGUACUCCAGCCUGGGUGACACAGCAAGACUCUGUCUCCA
Molecule: long non-coding RNA, 656 nt
Filed under: Homo sapiens (human)
Lineage: Eukaryota; Metazoa; Chordata; Mammalia; Primates; Hominidae
Description: HSALNT0219119
Source: RNAcentral